GGUUAAGACACCGCCCUUUCACGGCGGUAACAUGGGUUCGAUUCCCGUACGGGUCACCA
This 59-nucleotide transfer RNA is filed under the name Caudoviricetes sp. RNAcentral describes it as "tRNA-Ser". It matches the Rfam family "tRNA", at positions 17 to 71 of the family's 71-position model. From Rfam's summary of the family: Transfer RNA (tRNA) molecules are approximately 80 nucleotides in length. Their secondary structure includes four short double-helical elements and three loops (D, anti-codon, and T loops). Further hydrogen bonds mediate the characteristic L-shaped molecular structure. tRNAs have two regions of fundamental functional importance: the anti-codon, which is responsible for specific mRNA codon recognition, and the 3' end, to which the tRNAs corresponding amino acid is attached (by aminoacyl-tRNA synthetases). tRNAs cope with the degeneracy of the genetic code in two manners: having more than one tRNA (with a specific anti-codon) for a particular amino acid; and 'wobble' base-pairing, i.e. permitting non-standard base-pairing at the 3rd anti-codon position. The record is from RNAcentral. Lineage: Duplodnaviria; Heunggongvirae; Uroviricota; Caudoviricetes.